AUGAAGGUGGAUACUUUUUUGUGUCAACUCAUUAUACAAACAAAUCUCCAUCUCCUUGAGAAAGAUCUCACUCACUAAAUUUUUCUUUUUCGUUGUUGACAGAUUCAAGGAUUAUGUUCCCGCGAAAUAUAAGUCUUUCUAUGAGCGAUACUUGUUGGCUAAUCAUGAAGCACAAGUACCUGACAACAACGUUCCAAGAGAAUUAUAAUUUGUCUAUCCGUGAUGGAUAAAGUUCAGUUUUAUUGCACUAUUUAUCUGCAAAGGGGAUUCAAGUAGCAUGUGGUCUCUGCAGCCUACCUGGUGCUAAAGAUGGAGUUCGAGCUGCCACAGGUGAACGAGCAAGAAUUUGAGAUGCAAAAUUUCAAUUCCGUUCACAAAGCAGAGUUGAGGUAUUGUGCUUAUACGCCCAUCUCUUCAUUGUAAAAGUUAUUUUGCAUCGAUAGAAUGUUUUUCAGAUGUAUCAUUGUUUCAAACAAGAAACAAUAUUAGAUUGUGAUGUAUUUCAUAAAUCCUGUAUAUUAAGCCUAAUUGCCAUUGAAGAGGUUCUUAGCAGUUAUUUCACCCACUUGAAUAAAUUAAGAAAUAGGAACUCUUUUUAA
Long non-coding RNA from Olea europaea var. sylvestris, 599 nucleotides. RefSeq lists it as uncharacterized. The record is from RefSeq and is a predicted model, not a curated record. NCBI's taxonomy places the organism in Eukaryota, Viridiplantae, Streptophyta, Magnoliopsida, Lamiales, Oleaceae. The transcript is spliced from 3 exons.